RNAcentral lists this ribosomal RNA (771 nucleotides) under uncultured bacterium. RNAcentral describes it as "bacterial SSU rRNA". It matches the Rfam family "Bacterial small subunit ribosomal RNA", at positions 8 to 761 of the family's 1533-position model. The record is from RNAcentral.
AGAGUUUGAUCAUGGCUCAGGAUGAACGCUGGCGGCGUGCCUAAUACAUGCAAGUCGAGCGAACGGACGAGAAGCUUGCUUCUCUGAUGUUAGCGGCGGACGGGUGAGUAACACGUGGAUAACCUACCUAUAAGACUGGGAUAACUUCGGGAAACCGGAGCUAAUACCGGAUAAUAUUUUGAACCGCAUGGUUCAAAAGUGAAAGACGGUCUUGCUGUCACUUAUAGAUGGAUCCGCGCUGCAUUAGCUAGUUGGUAAGGUAACGGCUUACCAAGGCAACGAUGCAUAGCCGACCUGAGAGGGUGAUCGGCCACACUGGAACUGAGACACGGUCCAGACUCCUACGGGAGGCAGCAGUAGGGAAUCUUCCGCAAUGGGCGAAAGCCUGACGGAGCAACGCCGCGUGAGUGAUGAAGGUCUUCGGAUCGUAAAACUCUGUUAUUAGGGAAGAACAUAUGUGUAAGUAACUGUGCACAUCUUGACGGUACCUAAUCAGAAAGCCACGGCUAACUACGUGCCAGCAGCCGCGGUAAUACGUAGGUGGCAAGCGUUAUCCGGAAUUAUUGGGCGUAAAGCGCGCGUAGGCGGUUUUUUAAGUCUGAUGUGAAAGCCCACGGCUCAACCGUGGAGGGUCAUUGGAAACUGGAAAACUUGAGUGCAGAAGAGGAAAGUGGAAUUCCAUGUGUAGCGGUGAAAUGCGCAGAGAUAUGGAGGAACACCAGUGGCGAAGGCGACUUUCUGGUCUGUAACUGACGCUGAUGUGCGAAAGCG